UUCAGCAAGUUUGUUUAUUUUAUCACUUUAAAGUUUAUCGCUUUUUAUGGAAUAAGAAUUUUUUUCUGAUUUCACCUCCCAAUUAUCUCUCUCUUCCUUUUCAUUUUCAUCUUUUCUAUGUACAUAUGGUUUUUGUAAUUAUGAUUUAGUUCUCUCUUUUAAUUAGAAAAUAGAAAUUAGAAACUGAAAGGGGUUACUAUUGAUAUACUGAUAGUGUGAUGACAUGAUACUAAUAUGUGGAUUUUUUUGGUUUAUGAUUGGUAGGUUGGGGCGGCCAUUUUGUUACAAAGAGAAGGUACCAUUUCAUCAUCCCGAUGGACAACUGGUGGCAUAAAUCCUUAAGUGAAGGUGCUCUUGACAGUCAGAAUCAUCAUCUCUUGCAUGGGGUUAUUCACUGCAAUGGAUACGGGCAUUUGCUUUGUAUUAAUGGCGUAGAAGGGGGUUCUAAGGUUCUCAGUGGGAGAGAGAUCGUGGAUCUCUGGGACAGGAUCUGCAUCAAUCUUCGAGCAAGGAAAAUUGGAGUGGAAGAUGCUUCAUAUAAGAGGUCUAUGGAUCUUCGUUUACUUCAUGGAGUUGCUUAUGGGCACUCUUGGUUUGGUAGGUGGGGCUAUAGAUUUUGCCGUGGAAGCUUCGGUGUAACUGAGCAAAAAUACUAUGAAGCAAUUGAGGCUCUUGCUACUUUGGAGCUUGAAAAGAUUGUAAAAGAUUUCAGCAAGACAAAUUGCUUACUUCAUAAAGAAAUCAAACAAAUGAUUCGCUACUACAGAGAUAUGAGUGAAGCUCAGAUUAUCACAAUCAGAGAUCUUCUCAGGUUUAUGCUUACUGUCAGGUCUCGUUCUCGUGCUCCUGUGUCCAAGAUAACAGACAUUUCUUCUGCUGCUGCUCCUCCCAUGAAGGAAAAAUCUGCUGCUAGGUAUAAGAAGUUCAGCUGUGCAGUGACUUGUAUGGAUAGCAGGUGGCCAACACGGAGACUAGAGUUUGCAGCUCAAGUGAUUGUGGAUGCACUUAAAGAGAACAAGGCUGCCAAAUCAGGUUCUUGUGGGAUGACAAGACAAGAGGUGAGAGAUGCAGCUCGGCUCCAUAUUGGUGAUACAGGCUUACUGGAUUAUGUGCUGAAAUCACUUAACAAUGUGAUUGUUGGAAAUUUUGUUGUUCGUCGCAAGGUGAACCCGUCAACUCAUAUCCUGGAAUAUACUAUUCAUGAGCUUGGCAAUGAGUUCAAAGCCCUGGAGCCUCCUGGGGUAAUGGCUGUUGUAGAAUCAUCUUGGGUUCCUGGUAAUGAUGUCUACAACGAUGUGUUUUAUUUGUACAAAAAUGUACUUUUAGGCUACCCUGAUUCAGAACCAAUGGACUUGGUAGCUCAGACAAUUCUUGACAGCAGGCAUUUCGUGAAGGAGUGGGCUUUAAGGGAUGAAAUGGGGCAGCAUGUAUUGAAAUUCAUUUGCCACUUGAAGGGAAAUUUUAUGGACACUAAGUCUGAGUUGGGCGAGAUUGUUAUGGUUCCACUGCAUGCAACAGUCGGAGACUUGAAGCUAGCUGCUGAGGCUGCUCUGAGGGAUACAUACUGCAUUGCAGAAGGACUUAUAGUGACCGAAAUUGCAGAAUUGAUGGAUGUAGGUGAUGAGGAAGUCCUUUUUGGACUAAUCCAGUCUGGUAUGGAACUUUCUGUAAGGGGUAUUGCCAUAGAUUUGUGCACUCCAUUGAAGUAUCAGAGAGGGGCUGGCAAUUGGAAGGUGAGGUGUGAAUGUGGUGCUUGUGACGAUGAUGGGGAGAGAAUGGUGGCUUGUGACAUAUGUGAAGUGUGGCAGCAUACACGCUGCUGUGGCAUCCAUGACUCAGAGACAGUGCCACCACUGUUUAUGUGCUCUAGCUGUUGUGAUUCGCUCGUACCCCCAAGGAUUGAAUCCGGCUUCAGUGUGGAUUGUGUUGAUGAUUUUCUGAUUCCAACAGAGCCUACCCACUUACUGGAAUAUGAAAUUCGAGUUCGUUUAUAUGCGUGGACUGUCAGUCAGUGUGGAGUUCGAUGAUUUUGAAGAUGCUCCUCAAAUUGAUAAUUGGGACAAAGUCUCUUAUAUCAAUCGACCUGUUGAUAUUCAUAAGGAGGAUGGUUAAUACUUCAGCUUAAAUGAUGCAGUAAAAAGACUAGUGCUUGAGUUUUUUCCUGGAAGUUCCUCUGUUGAUGAAGGAGAUGCUGGCAUCAACCAAAGUGCAGAAGAGGGAGAAAAUUCAUGUGAUGGUUCAUCUUGUCACCGGUGCACUGGAGAUUGCUGAAAUCAAGUUUGUAUGCAUUCAAGGGAUAGAACCAAUUUUGGAGAUACCUUUUUCUUGGGUGGUUAACAACUUAAUGAAUCAUGAGUAUUAUCUUCACAUGAGUGUUUGCUUGAAAUUUUCAGAGCUCAAUGCUGUGCAAUAGAUACAAAUUUGAUUUUGUUGGGCAUAUAUUUACCCAGAACCUCAAAAGAUAUGCAAUUCUUUUGUCCAUAAAUGUACAGAACGAUUUCAUAUUGUAUUCAUUUCAAAAUUCGUUGGCUAUUUUCUU
This is an RNA transcript of Gastrolobium bilobum, 2539 nucleotides long. It is a transcript of the gene named PHD finger protein MALE MEIOCYTE DEATH 1-like, with no coding region annotated. Lineage: Eukaryota; Viridiplantae; Streptophyta; Magnoliopsida; Fabales; Fabaceae. The transcript has 3 exons. The record is from RefSeq and is a predicted model, not a curated record.